This 73-nucleotide transfer RNA is filed under the name Camelus bactrianus (Bactrian camel). It matches the Rfam family "tRNA". From Rfam's summary of the family: Transfer RNA (tRNA) molecules are approximately 80 nucleotides in length. Lineage: Eukaryota; Metazoa; Chordata; Mammalia; Artiodactyla; Camelidae. RNAcentral also lists the same sequence under 2 other names. The record is from Rfam by way of RNAcentral.
GAAGGUAUAGUUCAAGUGGUAGAGUGCAUACUUAGCAUGCAUGAGGUCCUGGGUUCAAUCCCCAGUACCUCCU